Long non-coding RNA from Erigeron canadensis, 288 nucleotides. RefSeq lists it as uncharacterized. The transcript is spliced from 3 exons. The record is from RefSeq and is a predicted model, not a curated record. Lineage: Eukaryota; Viridiplantae; Streptophyta; Magnoliopsida; Asterales; Asteraceae.
GGGUUUCAUAGUGCAAGGAUUCAUUUGAAAACGGGUCAAAUCCGGAAUUUAGCUUUUGUGGAAGAUUUUUGUAAGGUUUGUGAUCGUUGUGCUCCCCGCUCACCCGCUUAAGCUCAUUCUAACAACUUCUAAAGCUAAGGUAAUCAAGUGAAUCAAAGACGUGAUGGAUGAUUGCAUUGCAUGUGAUAGGAUUGAGCUUGGACUUCUAUGGAUCCGUGAUUCAUUGCACCCGUUCAUGGGUUAUGCCUAGGAACAUUAGCCAUCAUUGAACUAUCUUUUGUAAACUAU